AAUCUUUUGAUAUCUAAAAAUAAAGUGUAAUUUGAUACUUUAAGCUAUCCUAGCAAAUGUAACUAGUUACUCUGAAUUGAAAAGCAAAAUGUGUGGAUAAAGUAAUGUGUUUUCUAGACUGGAAUUUAGAAAUCUUUAAUCUGGGAUUAAUUGAUUAAUAAUGAAAUUAAUAAAAUUCAGGUGAAUUAGGCAAUUUGAGAUCUUGAUUUAAUUUUGGAAUGGUUAAUUUUCAUUGAGAAAGUAAGAACAAUGUUUUGCAAGAAGAACCAACUAUGGCCAUUUGGCAGGAUUUAAAUAGAAGUGUUUUACCUUGAUAAAGCUGUCAAUAUUUACAGGUAAACCUGUAACAAAACGCCUCUUUGCUAAUAGAUCUACUAUAAGCUAAACAACUGACAGCUAACCUAGUAGUUUGUAAGUGUGUAGUACACACUUACAAACUGUACCAAUGAGGUCUUUAAUGGAAAUAGGUUAACUGAUUUGAAUAGAAGCGGCAGCAUCAGCAGAAAUAAAAGUGUUAGAAAUAAAAGAAUAAACUAUUAUACA
Molecule: long non-coding RNA, 543 nt
Organism: Xiphophorus couchianus (Monterrey platyfish)
Lineage: Eukaryota; Metazoa; Chordata; Actinopteri; Cyprinodontiformes; Poeciliidae
Exons: 2
Source: RefSeq, a predicted model, not a curated record